UGUCCCAUUGUGUAAUGGUAGCACAGCAGAUUUUGGUUCUGUCAGUCAAGGUUCGAAUCCUUGUGGGACAACAA
Molecule: transfer RNA, 74 nt
Filed under: Butyricimonas synergistica
Lineage: Bacteria; Pseudomonadati; Bacteroidota; Bacteroidia; Bacteroidales; Odoribacteraceae
Also listed under: 7 other names
Description: tRNA-Gln
Rfam family: tRNA
About the family: Transfer RNA (tRNA) molecules are approximately 80 nucleotides in length. Their secondary structure includes four short double-helical elements and three loops (D, anti-codon, and T loops).
Source: RNAcentral